This 75-nucleotide transfer RNA is filed under the name Candidatus Odinarchaeum yellowstonii. RNAcentral describes it as "tRNA-Arg". It matches the Rfam family "tRNA". From Rfam's summary of the family: Transfer RNA (tRNA) molecules are approximately 80 nucleotides in length. Lineage: Archaea; Promethearchaeati; Candidatus Odinarchaeota; Candidatus Odinarchaeia; Candidatus Odinarchaeales; Candidatus Odinarchaeaceae. The record is from RNAcentral.
GGGCCCGUAGCCUAGACAGGAUAUGGCACUGGCCUCCUAAGCCAGGGGUCACCGGUUCAAGUCCGGUCGGGCCCG